Molecule: small nuclear RNA, 106 nt
Organism: Gracilinanus agilis (Agile Gracile Mouse Opossum)
Lineage: Eukaryota; Metazoa; Chordata; Mammalia; Didelphimorphia; Didelphidae
Source: RefSeq, a predicted model, not a curated record
GUGCUCACUUGAGUAGUACAUGUACUAAAAUGAGAUUGAUGUAGAGAACAUAACAUGAUUUCUGCACAAGGAUGACAUAUAAAUUUGUAAAGUCUUCCAAGUUUGA